CCCCUAGAUGUUCUGGGCCGCACGCGUGCUACACUGAGUGGAUCAGCGGGUCAGGUUGCGCGAAAGCGUUUCCUAAUCUUUAAAUCCGCUCGUGAUGGGGAUUGACGGUUGCAAUUUUCUGUCAUGAACGAGGAAUACCUUGUAAGCGCGGGUCAUCAUCCCGCGCUGAAUACGUCCCUGCCCUUUGUACACACCGCCCGUCGCUCCUACCGAUUGAGUGGUCCGGUGAGGCUUUGGGAUCUGAGCGGAAAGAGCGUUUCGCUGUUUCUGCUCGGAAAACUCAGUCGAACCUUAUCAUUUAGAGGAAGGAGAAGUCGUAACA
Molecule: ribosomal RNA, 322 nt
Filed under: uncultured eukaryote
Lineage: Eukaryota
Description: partial 18S ribosomal RNA
Rfam family: Eukaryotic small subunit ribosomal RNA
Source: RNAcentral